Molecule: ribosomal RNA, 654 nt
Filed under: uncultured bacterium
Lineage: Bacteria
Description: bacterial SSU rRNA
Rfam family: Bacterial small subunit ribosomal RNA
Source: RNAcentral
CACCUACGGGUGGCAGCAGUGAGGAAUCUUCCACAAUGGGGGCAACCCUGAUGGAGCAACGCCGCGUGCAGGAUGAAGGCCUUCGGGUUGUAAACUGCUUUUAUAAGUGAGGAAUAUGACGGUAACUUAUGAAUAAGGAUCGGCUAACUACGUGCCAGCAGCCGCGGUCAUACGUAGGAUCCGAGCGUUAUCCGGAGUGACUGGGCGUAAAGAGUUGCGUAGGUGGUUUAUCAAGUGAAUAGUGAAAUCUGGUGGCUCAACCAUACAGGCUAUUAUUCAAACUGAUAAACUCGAGAAUGGUAGAGGUAACUGGAAUUUCUUGUGUAGGAGUGAAAUCCGUAGAUAUAAGAAGGAACACCAAUGGCGUAGGCAGGUUACUGGACCAUUUCUGACACUAAGGCACGAAAGCGUGGGGAGCGAACGGGAUUAGAUACCCCGGUAGUCCACGCCGUAAACGAUGGAUACUAGCUGUUGGAGGUAUCGACCCCUUCAGUAGCGAAGCUAACGCGUUAAGUAUCCCGCCUGUGGAGUACGGCCGCAAGGCUAAAACAUAAAGGAAUUGACGGGGACCCGCACAAGCGGUGGAUCGUGUUCUUUAAUUCGAUGCUAAACGGAGAACCUUACCAGGGUUUGACAUCCUUGGAAUCUCUGGGA